UGAACGCUGGCGGCAUGCUUUACACAUGCAAGUCGACCGGCAGCGCGGGCUUCGGCCUGGCGGCGAGUGGCGAACGGGUGAGUAAUGCAUCGGAACGUGCCCAGUAGUGGGGGAUAGCCCGGCGAAAGCCGGAUUAAUACCGCAUACGACCUGAGGGUGAAAGCGGGGGACCGAAAGGCCUCGCGCUAUUGGAGCGGCCGAUGUCGGAUUAGCUAGUUGGUGGGGUAAAGGCUUACCAAGGCGACGAUCCGUAGCUGGUCUGAGAGGACGACCAGCCACACUGGGACUGAGACACGGCCCAGACUCCUACGGGAGGCAGCAGUGGGGAAUUUUGGACAAUGGGGGCAACCCUGAUCCAGCCAUGCCGCGUGCGGGAAGAAGGCCUUCGGGUUGUAAACCGCUUUUGUUCGGGAAGAAAUCCUCUGGGCUAAUACCCCGGGGGGAUGACGGUACCGGAAGAAUAAGCACCGGCUAACUACGUG
Molecule: ribosomal RNA, 482 nt
Filed under: uncultured bacterium
Lineage: Bacteria
Description: partial 16S ribosomal RNA
Rfam family: Bacterial small subunit ribosomal RNA
Source: RNAcentral